RNAcentral lists this ribosomal RNA (230 nucleotides) under uncultured bacterium. Its description in RNAcentral is "partial 16S ribosomal RNA". It matches the Rfam family "Bacterial small subunit ribosomal RNA", at positions 564 to 791 of the family's 1533-position model. The record is from RNAcentral.
AGGGUUGGCGUAGGCGGCCUGUUAAGUCAGAGGUGAAAGACGGUAGCUCAACUAUCGCAGUGCCUUUGAUACUGAUGGGCUUGAAUGGACUAGAGGUAGGCGGAAUGAGACAAGUAGCGGUGAAAUGCAUAGAUAUGUCUCAGAACACCGAUUGCGAAGGCAGCUUACUAUGGUUUUAUUGACGCUGAGGCACGAAAGCGUGGGGAUCAAACAGGAUUAGAUACCCUGGU